GCAAGAGCAAAAGGGGAGGAGCAGCAGAGAGUAAAUUUAUUUCCCUCCCUUAUAUUGUAUACAGGCUACCUGCCCUAGGGCGGGUGUAGCAGUCAUACCCGUAAUCCCAGCAUUGGACCAUGGAUCAGUCAAGAAUUCUAGAAGCCUCCUCCAUGACUGCAUGAGGCUUUCUGGGGACAUCUAGACACAAACCGUAAUGCCCAUCAAAGGUGUCACUGUUAAUGGACUGCACAUGACCUCCUUUCCUUCUGGAUGAUUCCUGCGACCAUCCUACGACUCUGUGCAAGAGAAAGGAAACACACUUGGCUUUCAAUGACCAUGUGUGUUUCUUCAAUUCAAGGAGCUGAGCCUUUAGUUCCAGGGGUUUCUGCCUGGCUGAAGAAAGCUGCCAGUUCAAGAACACUCUCAUCUAUUGGACGAGCCCUCACUACUGACAUCCCUUCCAAAGCACAGCCCAUCUUGGUGGGACUUUUGAUAUCCUCUCUGCCACCACCCUUGGGUAUCCCAAGAAACUGUUGUAUGUUCUCCCUGGAUUUUGCUGGAUAUCUUUCCUGGUCUACCAUUUCAACCUCACUGGAUCAGAGAAAUGUUUUCAACUCAGAAGCUCUAUUUAUUUGGAACCACAUCUUAUAAGAGAAUAAAACUUCAAAUCUUAUUGACUUUCUUUUGUGUGGUUCAUAUACUGGCUUCAAAAUAUGACUUUCUGAUGACUUAUACCAAAGGAGGAUUUAUAAAGAUCAAUUAUCAUUUGAUUUAUAGAAGGAAGUCUCCUUUAAUGUAUCCUGUUUGUACUGCCUUUAAGGUACACAUGUGGUGUUGAUAUCACUAGAAUUUUAGGAGAUCUGUCAAAAUAGAAGUUUUAAAACCAUAUGUAUGGCAUAGUUUCCUUUCUUUGGAAAUCAAUUAUAUUGCAAAAAGAAUAAUAACUGUUUUCCCCCUGCCUCCUCCUAAUCCAAGAAAAGAGCGUCCUGAUUCUACAUUCUCCUUGGGAAUUCCAGCAAGCCAAAUUUCAGGGUUUUGGUUUUCUUUGUGUGCUAUAAGUCACUACAAAGAUUUUGGUCUUCAUAUUCUUGAACACGAGAAUCAGCUGCAAGUUGGAGAUGAGUUGUCUGGCUGAUCAUGUUCUCAAAAUGGCAGGCAAAUUAAUCUUUUUUUUUGCUGUUAUUUUUAUGUAAGGCAACAUUUAGGAUAUAUGUAUGUAUUAGUCUUACUUUAGCUAUUCAAAAGACAGGUAUGUAAACCAGACACUGAAUUUGCUACCAAAUGGCUUAUUUAACUAGAAGGAACAUGGAAACUACUGAUUUAAAUAUAAUACUCUCUCACAAGCACACCAGAUGUUUUAUAUAUGAAAUCAUCUCUUGGUGCUGAAAUUUAGAUCUUACUGACAUCCAAAUAUUGCUAUUGCAAGUGUUGAAACGCUCCCAAGUUUAACACAUGUAAGGGAACCAGAUCUUUUCUCCAGAUAAAACAAUGCAAUCGCAAAGAUUAGAUGCAAAGAGCUGUGAUUUAUUUUAGGGGUGGCAAAUGUGUGGUGAGGCACCAAAAAC
This is a long non-coding RNA of Chinchilla lanigera (long-tailed chinchilla), 1547 nucleotides long. The record is from Ensembl. NCBI's taxonomy places the organism in Eukaryota, Metazoa, Chordata, Mammalia, Rodentia, Chinchillidae.